CUUAUGAUGGCGACCGGCGCACGGGUGCGUAACGCGUAUGCAACCUACCUUUUACAGGGGCAUAACACUGAGAAAUUGGUACUAAUUCCCCAUAAUAUCUGAGACGGCAUCGUUUUGGGUCGAAAACUCCGGUGGUAAAAGAUGGGCAUGCGUUGUAUUAGCUAGUUGGUGAGGUAACGGCUCACCAAGGCGACGAUACAUAGGGGGACUGAGAGGUUAACCCCCCACAUUGGUACUGAGACACGGACCAAACUCCUACGGAAGGCAGCAG
This 271-nucleotide ribosomal RNA is filed under the name uncultured bacterium. RNAcentral's name for it is "partial 16S ribosomal RNA". It matches the Rfam family "Bacterial small subunit ribosomal RNA", at positions 78 to 354 of the family's 1533-position model. The record is from RNAcentral.